CAUCUCCUCCCUCAACGUUACUUUCUCGCUAAAGCUGAGCUCUCUCAUCUCUGUCACUGUGGCUCAGUUGCUCUCGCACAAGCUCUCUCCCUCUCUCGGCUCCGGUCUCUCUACUGUCUCCGGUAUCCCACUCAAGCUCGUCGUCCCUCUUUGUGCCGUCACUCACCACCAUCUCGCAUCAGUCGCGCUCACGCGCCUUUCCUGCCCUCGUCGUCGUCAGCGGCAGAAGCAGCAGGUCCCGGGAUUGGUCGUCGUCAUCGCUCCUUGUCUCAUCACCGUCUCACACUCAAUCCCGCGCCUUUGUUGCCAUUGUUGUGCUCGUCGCCGCCGCCGGCAGAAGCAUCCGGUUCCGGGAUUGAUUUUCGUUGUCGUCUUCUUGCUUCGACUUUCGCCACCAGCUUCCUCUUCGCCGUCAGCUUCCUUCGCACAACCAGAAGCUGGUCUCCAAUUUGCUUGUGCCUUUGAAUCAAAUGAAAAGAUUUGUCAAUGAAAUUUCCUUGCAAAAGUGAAGGUGGCAGAAGCUCCAAACAGAUUAAAGAUCCCUCACGUUCAUUGCUGCAACACAGGCAAGCAGCUUUGAAUAGAGUGAAAGGCUCACUUGACUGCUCUCAAUUGGAGAUUAACUGGCAUUUAGAUCCAUCGUAAUUCCACCAUUCAAUGUAUUUUAAUGAAUUAAUAACAAAAGAUUGAAAAAAUUGGCAAAACAUAGGCCAAAUAUUUAAUAUCAACUGUACUAUAGGCAUUGAUUCAUUGUUGUAAUAGAAGUUACCUAUAAUGUAUUAUCUUGAGGAAGCUUAUCCUCUUAUAGCAAAUAUUAAAUUCAUACAUGUAAUCGAAAUAUGAUCUUUAUCAAAUACAUUUGAACUUUUCCGUCAA
This is a long non-coding RNA of Arachis stenosperma, 876 nucleotides long. RefSeq lists it as uncharacterized. The transcript is spliced from 2 exons. Lineage: Eukaryota; Viridiplantae; Streptophyta; Magnoliopsida; Fabales; Fabaceae. The record is from RefSeq and is a predicted model, not a curated record.